Molecule: long non-coding RNA, 1948 nt
Filed under: Haliotis rufescens (red abalone)
Lineage: Eukaryota; Metazoa; Mollusca; Gastropoda; Lepetellida; Haliotidae
Description: uncharacterized LOC125371782
Source: RNAcentral
UCCAAAGUGGUAAACGUCGGAGACCUGCAUCACUUCGGGCUUUCCUCCCACAAUAAGCUGACACACCGUGAUAUAACUGGAAUACUGUUAAAAGCGGCGUUAAACCCAACUCACUCAAUCACUCAUGUGACACAGAGGAAUGCACUACACUGGCAACAGUGGUUUGCUUGGCUUUGUCAGCAAUCAUUUCUGCAUUUGGAACGUUUGUCUUGGUUUACACUGAAAUACCCUGAAAUAACGAUGAUGGGUGUCAUUGUGGACAUCUUCCUAGGGCAAGGGAGUUAACUGACCAUAAAGUGCGCGCUGUGAAUAAAAGAAAUUCAAUGAAGUUUUGAUUUCAUAAACACCCUCGUCUUUGGGCAACUUUUGUAUCACUAAAACACUGCACAAAACAUUUGCAUAUUUUUCAGACUUAAAAUGAUUUUUUGUAAAUGCCUGCCUUGAUCUAUUUCUUUAAAAAUGUCUUUUCGGGGAAUCAGUGACUGAACCUCCAUUAUAAACCUAUUUUAUUCUAAAGGAAUCCCAGUGUAUGGGAGGUAAGUCUUUUCACUGGUAUUUUAUAGGGGGGAAUUGGUUGAUUCUGAAUAUGUUAUCAUGGUAAUGUGUAUGUUGACAAGGAAUAUCAUCUGAAUCUGUUACCAUGGUAAUGUGAAUGUUGACAAGGAAUAUCAGCUGAGCAAAAUUCCAUCACAUCAGGUGCACUAAAGGGGCACUUGUUCAGAGUAUUGCAUUAUGAUAUAGGGGGCGGUUGGGUUUCAUGUUUAUUUGGUGUUGGCUUGUCUCGCACACACCUAUGUCAGUGGAGUAAAUCCAUAUUGACCCAUAAUGUUAGAGAUGUGCCAAGUUUGAUGAAAUGUUGUGUCAUAAUGAGAGAAUGAAAGUCUGAGUAUUGAUUAGCAUUAUUGUCACAGUUUGCACUUCUAUAUUGUCAGUACUUACCAGGUCUGACCUGGGCCAUGUUUCACAAAGUGAUCUUAGUGCUACGAUCAUCGUAACUUGCAUACUUUCUCAAAUGGGUCCUUUGACCCACAUGCACAAAGAAAUUUUAGCUCUGAAGUAUGAGAGUUACGAUGAUCUCAGACCUACAACAGUAGCACUAUGUUAAAGAAUGGGAGUUACGAGGGUCUUAGUACUACUGUUGUAGGUCUAUGUUAAAGUAUGGGGGUUACGAAGGUCUUAGUACUACUGUUGUAGGUCUAUGUUAAAGUAUGGGGGUUACGAAGGUCUUAGUACUACUGUUGUAGGUCUAUGUUAAAGUAUGGGGGUUACGAAGGUCUUAGUGCUACUGUUGUAGGUCUAUGUUAAAGUAUGGGGGUUACGAAGGUCUAAGUGCUACUGUUGUAGGUCUAUGUUAAAGUAUGGGGGUUACGAAGGUCUUAGUACUACUGUUGUAGGUCUAUGUUAAAGUAUGGGGGUUACGAAGGUCUUAGUGCUACUGUUGUAGGUCUAUGUUAAAGUAUGGGGGUUACAAAGGUCUUAGUGCUACUGUUGUAGGUCUAUGUUUAAGUAUGGGGGUUACAAAGGUCUUAGUGCUACUGUUGUAGGUCUAUGUUAAAGUAUGGGGGUUACGAAGGUCUUAGUGCUACUGUUGUAGGUCUAUGUUAAAGUAUGGGGGUUACGAAGGUCUUAGUGCUACUGUUGUAGGUCUAUGUUAAAGUAUGGGGGUUACGAAGGUCUUAGUGCUAAGAUUGUUUUGUGCAUGUGGGCUCUGGUCUUGAUUGUCACACAGGGUGUCUGUAGGAGCUAUACUUGUGUGGUGUACUUGUGACAGUGUGUUGUGCUGCCCAAGGCUGUUGAUACAUGUGUAUAGGUGUAAAGUAUUCCAGAUCCUGUUUUAUUUUUUUGACGAUGUGUGUGAUGUGAUCAUUGUAUAAACUCAUCCUGGUACCAGCUACCUUCAUCACCUGGCCUUGACCCCAGGAAGCUCUUCAAUAAACUUGAAGGUCGA